RNAcentral lists this long non-coding RNA (1498 nucleotides) under Macaca fascicularis (crab-eating macaque). RNAcentral describes it as "lncRNA (ENSMFAG00000049091.1)". The record is from RNAcentral. Lineage: Eukaryota; Metazoa; Chordata; Mammalia; Primates; Cercopithecidae.
AGUUAGUUCCUUGCAUUUUACUCUGCCAUAAUAAUUUUUGUUUGUUUUAAUUACCAUAUCAAAAUAAGAUCAUUUUAUGCUUACUGGUAUAAUGAUAAUAUUAGAAUUAUAGGAAAUAAUUGAAUAUAUAUUUUUUGUCUUCUGUAAAUAUCAUGGUGUCCCUUAGCAUAUGUAUACCACUCUCAUUGCUGGCAGUGAGACAGGCCAUUCAUGAUCUUAAGAUUGACAUUUUUAAUGUAUAUAUUAGUUACAAGCACUUUAUAUAGCAGAAAAUUGUUUUUGAGAAUAAGCUAGUGUUGAUAUUUUAAUAUUUUUAGCUUACUGCUCGUGUUUUUGUUUUUGUCUUCAUUUAUAGAGGUGGGUUUCACUAUGUUGCCCAGGCUGGUCUCAAACUCCUGGGCUCAAGUGAUCCUGCCUCAGCCUCCCAAAGUACUGGGAUUACAGGCACGUGCCACUGUGCCUGGCCUACUGCUAUCUUUGAAAGUAAUAGAGACUAGCCAGCUGUGGUGGCUCAUACCUAUAAUCCCAGCACUUUGGGAGGCUGAGGCAGGCAGAUUGCUUGAGCUCAGGAGUUCGAGACCAGCCUGGGAAAUAUAGCAAGACCCUGUCUCUGUAAAAAGAAAGAAAGUAAUAGAGACUAAUUGAGCCCAAAAUGUUUCACUAUUUCAAAAAAGAUAUUAAAAUUGUUGCUCUGUCAUUCCAUAAAAAGAAUCUGAUCUCUCUUCUACUUUUCUGACCUGAGUUAGAGCUUCCCAGCCCUGUCAUGUAUGGGUUUUAGCCUAUUUCUUUUAGGUCACUAAAACAACUCACCCAAUUUGUCAAAUAAUGGAUUUAUCAUAGCCAAUACAUGUUCUCAAGGCAAGUUUAAACAUUAUUUUGAAGCUAAUGAUAAUUUUUUAAAAUAAAUAUUCACUGAUGUUUUUCACUGUAAAGCACGGGAGGGCUGCUUUAACAGCAGUGUAAGAAUCAGCCUGAAGCCUUGUUACUGCUGCAACAAAUGCAUGUUAGACUCCUCGGAUGUCUUCCACAGUGAUUUAUUUUUUUAGCAAACCUGAUACUGAUAACUGUUUCUUUGCUUUGAUUUCUUGAUGAAUUAUUUUGGUAUGUUUGUUGCUUUUUAAAACAAACAUGGAUAAUGCACUCAAGAGUACAUUUUUUGUAAAGAUUUUUGCAAUAGAAGAAAAGCUGAAGUUUUUGUGGGGAUGUGGAUUUUAUUGCUUACUACUUUUUUCCCUAUUUAAAACAUGAUCUUAGUCAAUAAUUGUAUUUAUAAUUAUCAGCUAAAGAAACUACAUUUAGUAUAAUACUCAAAUGGAAAAAUCAGUAGUUUAUACCUUUAUAAAUACAAUGUAGUAAGCCAAGGAAUCAGGGAACUAAUCCUUUAAAAUUAAUGUACUAAUGGUUAAUUAAGAUGUUUCAGGUGUUUUUUCUGAUUAAAUUUGUUAUUAUAUUUGGAAGAGUUUUUAAAACUAUAUUAAAAUGUGACUUGCAUUAUAAA